GAUAGUCUGUCUUCCAAAAUCCCUAACCCUAUCGUGCUUUCCUCUCUUUUUUUCCCAAUUCCAAAAUCAAGUUGUCUGCCUGUCUACACCAAAUCACCGAUCCACCUCCACCGUCAAGACCUCCACCGAUCCACCUCCGUCCUCCACCCAAUUCCAGAAUCAAGCAUUUAAGGGUUUGUUUAUUCCCGAAUCGCCAACAAAAUCGUAUUUAAGGUAAACCGUUUGUUUAUUCUUUAAUGUUCAAUUGUUCAUAACUUCAUAUGAAUUUUUAUGUUAAUUAUUUUGAUUUUUGGGUAAUAAUGUUGCUAAUUUUAUUCGUUAAUGUCUGUGGAAAGAAAUCUCUCUAGAUAUUAUAUAUGUUAAAAGUUGCGUGAUCCUCAUAAGCGUUUUCAACAAACAUAAUAGCCCCUAUAAGUAAAUACAAAUGCUAAAUGAUACCUGAAUGAAAGAAGUGUAGGAUCUUAUGAGAAUAUCAGAGAACUGAUCGGGUGUAUAGAUUCUGUUAACUAGAGGAUUGAUGUAGUAGUUCUAAAUAUAAUCACUGCUUCCUGCACUCAUAAGAUGUAUGGCACCAGAGAUUAUGCUGUUGGCUCCAUUAGUAGAGAUAUUUGAACCUUGUCUGUUUCAACUGGAUUCUUCUCAUUUUCUUCAAUGGAAUCCAAACCCAAAUCUUCAUUUCUAUUUGAAUAUGUUUUUGCAGUCCUUUUAUGAACUUGAGAUCUUUGCUUCCUCAUAAGAAUUGGUUUUUCUCAUUUCCAUCAGAUCUUCCUUUCUUAACGGAACCGGACUCUUCUUCUUAAUCCCAUUAUCAACAACAGCCAAGCUCAAAUCUUUACAAUGUUCCAUGGAUCUUCCUUUAGCUACUACCUUAUUUGGGUUCUUCUUGAAGCCAUCAAAGCUUUCAUUUUUCCAAGUCUUUCUCUUGCUACCACCGACACUUUGUCAUUUCUACAAUCUUUUAUCACCAUCACUAUUGAUGUUUUCUUGUUCUUCAUCUUCAUCUUCUCCAUUGAAAACCUUGAUUCCACCUCUAAAUUCAUCGCUCUUCAUUCUAGUUUCCCAUACCGGCCCAGCUGCAACAACAUUGCUUUUAACACCUAGUCUUCUGUAACUCAAAUCCAUCCUUUUUCUUUCCAGUUUAUUACCUUUUCUGCUUAUUUCAUAAUUUAAGCCAUAAUCUUGAUUUGGAAUUUCAGUUGAGUUAGCAUGUGUUGGCAAUACACAUGUUCUAAUUUAUGCAGUUUGAAUUUCAUUCAAGGUAAAGAAGUUUGUCUAUGUGUUCUUAGCAGAUUUUAAUUUACUAUAUUUUCGUUGUAUUUUGCUUAAUUUAUGCGUUUGAAUUUUUUAAGAAAUCAUUAACAAUGGAUCCC
This 1370-nucleotide long non-coding RNA is filed under the name Gossypium barbadense (sea-island cotton). RNAcentral describes it as "long non-coding RNA (GBAR_LNC021548)". The record is from RNAcentral. Lineage: Eukaryota; Viridiplantae; Streptophyta; Magnoliopsida; Malvales; Malvaceae.